This is a long non-coding RNA of Felis catus (domestic cat), 2243 nucleotides long. RefSeq lists it as uncharacterized. The transcript is spliced from 2 exons. NCBI's taxonomy places the organism in Eukaryota, Metazoa, Chordata, Mammalia, Carnivora, Felidae. The record is from RefSeq and is a predicted model, not a curated record.
UCUUGAUAGUUCCUUGUGACACAAAGUUUAAUUUUAAUAAAGUCCAAUUUAUUUUUUUUUCUUUUGCUUAUACUUGAGAUAUCAAAUCUAAGAAACCAUUGCCUAAUCUGAUGUCAGAAAAUUUACACUUAAUGUUUUCUUAUAAGAGUUUUAUGGUUUGAGCUCUUACCUUUAUUCCUUUGACCUAUUUUGAGUUAAUUUUUAUAUAUUGCAUGAAGUAGGGGGCAAAUUAAUUCUUUUGCCUGUGAAUAUCCAACUGUCCCCUUACCAUUUGUUGAAAAGACUAUUCCUUCCUCCAUUGAAUGGUCUUGGUACUCUUGUUGAAAACCAAUUGCCCAUAAAUAUAUGGGUGUAUUUCUGGAUUCUUAAUUCCCAUCAGUCUAUAUGUCCUUCCUUAUGCCAGAAUCACAUAGUCUUGAUUGCUGUAACUUUGUUAGUUAAGUUUUAAAAUCAGGAAAUGUAACUCCUCUGACUUGUUUUUCAAAAAAAUUUUGGCUAUUUGGUGUCCCUCACAUUUCCAUACAAAUAUUAGCAUCAGCUUGUCAAUUUCUGCAAGAAAAUGCCGCUGGGAUUUUGACGGUUGUAUAGAAUUUGUAGAUCAGUUUUGGAAUAUUUACAAGUUUUGCAUCACUAUUUUAUGUGUCCAUAUGAUAUAUUGACUGCCUUUAAGUUUUCAUCCUGGAUUGCCUAAGUGCUUGCUGUGGCUUCCUAUAUACCUUUAGUCUACUUUUCUUCCAACCACUUUUUCUUGCUGUUACCUGGAUGUCUUAUCUAAAAGGCUUAAUUAAGAUCCUUUAGUGACUUCUCAGAGCUUUCAGAAUUAAUUCACUCAUUCAAAUGUCUCUAAUCCCUUAAUGUGUCAGAUAUUAUCCCAGGAAUAUAGCAGUGAACAAAAAAAUAAAUGCUCUCGUGGAGCUCAAGUGUGGGGAGAUGUAAUAAGUAAAAUAUAUAUUGUGAUAUAUAAUGAGAAGUGCCAGGGAGAGGGGAAAAGCAGGGAAGGGGACAGGAGAAUGUGCAAUUUUAAAAAGGGUAAUCAAGGAGGGCUUCAUUGAGAUAGUUGAGUACCUAAAGAAGUAAUAGGCUGUGCAUACAUCUGAUGAAAGCUUGCAGGCAUAGCAAAUAGCAACCAUAAAGGCUCUGAGUUGGCAGCAUGUUUGAGGAACAUCAAGGAGGCUAGCAGGCUGGAGAUGAGGGAGUGAGGAGAGUAAUAGGAAGUGAGAUCAAGGGUAACAGGUAGUAGGGUGCCUGGCUGGCUCAGUCAGUAUAGCAUGCAACUCUUGAUCUCGGGGUUGUAAGUUUGAGCCCCAUGUUGGGUGUAGAGAUUACUUAAAAAAUAAAAUCUUAACAGCAAAUUGUGUGUGGUCUUAUGGGCCAUUGUUACUGCUCUGGUUUUUAUAGUGAGGUGGGAAGUCAUUGGAGAGUUUGAGCAGAGAAAUAUCAGUUCUGUACCUGAGAUUUAACAAAAGUGCCUUACCUGAUAGGUUGGGGAAAGACUGUGUAUGUGUGUGUGGGAGGGAUAAGGUGAAAGCAGGAGACGAGUUGUAGUAGCCAGCCUCUAAAACAUCUCCAAUGAUCCCUGCCUCAUGAGAUUCACACCCAUGUGUAAUCCCUUCCACUUGACUGUGGGCUGGACCUAGUGACUUGCUUCUACUGAAUAGAGUAUGGCAAAGUGAUGGGAUAUCAUUUCUGAGAUUGUUAUGGUCUCCAUUUUGCAUGUUCUUUCUUGCUCUCUCACUUGCUCACUGUUGGAAGCUGGCUGCCAUUUUGUGACGUGCCUUUAAAAGAGGCCCACGUGACAAACUGAAGGUGACCUCAGGCCAGUGAGGACCUGAGGCUCUUGGUCCAACAACCCAUAGAGAGCUAAAUAUUGCCAACAACCACAUCAAUUAGCUUGGAAGCUGAUCCUCUCUCAGAUGAGCCUUCAGAUGGGACUACAGUUCUGACUAACAGCUUGACUGUGGCCUUGUGAGAACCCAUGUCAACUCAACUUCAGCCAUGCAGGUGGUGAUAAUGUCCCAGGAUGGCAGAUCAACAGGAUGAAAAAUGUGGAUCCCUGAAUGACUUCAUGGAACAGGGCUAGCUGCUGACUGGAAGUCUCCACAGAUUGUAAUCACAGAAUGUUAUACCUCUUCUCUUUAAGCCUCUUUAUUGUUGUUGGUGGCCGCUCCAGUGGCCUUAUAUAACCACUGUCUGCACUGAGUGUGAAAGACAUUUUCCUAAAGGAAAAACAAUUUUGAAUUGGA